CAGUAGCCACGGUAAUACAGAGGGUGCAAGCGUUAAUCGGAAUUACUGGGCGUAAAGCGCGCGUAGGUGGUUCGCCAAGUUGGAUGUGAAAUCCCCGGGCUCAACCUGGGAACUGCAUCCAAAACUGGCGAGCUAGAGUAUGGUAGAGGGUGGUGGAAUUUCCUGUGUAGCGGUGAAAUGCGUAGAUAUAGGAAGGAACAUCAGUGGCGAAGGCGACCACCUGGACUGAUACUGACACUGAGGUGCGAGAGCGUGGGGAGCAAACAGGAUUAGAUACCCCAGUAGUCCCUGUCUCUUAUAC
Molecule: ribosomal RNA, 301 nt
Filed under: uncultured bacterium
Lineage: Bacteria
Description: partial 16S ribosomal RNA
Rfam family: Bacterial small subunit ribosomal RNA
Source: RNAcentral